CGCUCCCAGAAGUUUGAUCAUGGCUCAGGACGACGCUGGCGCGUGCUAAUACAUGCAAGUCGAGCGGACCGACGGGAGCUUGCUCCCUUAGGUCAGCGGCGGACGGGUGAGUAACACGUGGGUAACCUGCCUGUAAGACUGGGAUAACUCCGGGAAACCGGGGCUAAUACCGGAUGCUUGAUUGAACCCGCAUGGUUCAAUCAUAAAAGGUGGCUUUCAGCUACCACUUGCAGAUGGACCCGCGGCGCAUUAGCUAGUUGGUGAGGUAACGGCUCACCAAGGCGACGAUGCGUAGCACUGACCUGAGAGGGUGAUCGGCCACACUGGGACUGAGACACGGCCCAGACUCCUACGGGAGGCAGCAGUAGGGAAUCUUCCGCAAUGGACGAAAGUCUGACGGAGCAACGCCGCGUGAGUGAUGAAGGUUUUCGGAUCGUAAAACUCUGUUGUUAGGGAAGAACAAGUACCGUUCGAAUAGGGCGGCACCUUGACGGUACCUAACCAGAAAGCCACGGCUAACUACGUGCCAGCAGCCGCGGUAAUACGUAGGUGGCAAGCGUUGUCCGGAAUUAUUGGGCGUAAAGCGCGCGCAGGGCGGUUUCUUAAGUCUGAUGUGAAAGAGAAAGUGACCGUCGAGGGCAUGGAAACUGGGGAACUUGAGGAAGAAAAAGAGAGUGGAAUUCCACGUGUAGCGGUGAAAUGCGUAGAGAUGUGGAGGAACACCAGUGGCGAAGGCGACUCUCUGGUCUGUAACUGACGCUGAGGCGCGAAAGCGUGGGGAGCGAACAGGAUUAGAUACCCUGGUAGUCCACGCCGUAAACGAUGAGUGCUAAGUGUUAGAGGGUUUCCGCCCUUUAGUGCUGCAGCAAACGCAUUAAGCACUCCGCCUGGGGAGUACGGCUCGCAAGACUGAAACUCAAAGGAAUUGACGGGGGCCCGCACAAGCGGUGGAGCAUGUGGUUUAAUUCGAAGCAACGCGAAGAACCUUACCAGGUCUUGACAUCCUCUGACAACCCUAGAGAUAGGGCUUCGGGGGUGGGGGGCAGAGUGACAGGUGGUGCAUGGUUGUCGUCAGCUCGUGUCGUGAGAUGUUGGGUUAAGUCCCGCAACGAGCGCAACCCUUGAUCUUAGUUGCCAGCAUUCAGUUGGGCACUCUAAGGUGACUGCCGGUGACAAACCGGAGG
Molecule: ribosomal RNA, 1184 nt
Filed under: Bacillus licheniformis
Lineage: Bacteria; Bacillati; Bacillota; Bacilli; Caryophanales; Bacillaceae
Description: bacterial SSU rRNA
Rfam family: Bacterial small subunit ribosomal RNA
Source: RNAcentral